RNAcentral lists this ribosomal RNA (107 nucleotides) under Felis catus (domestic cat). Lineage: Eukaryota; Metazoa; Chordata; Mammalia; Carnivora; Felidae. The record is from RNAcentral.
GUCUACGGCCAUACCACCCUGAACGCGCCCGAUCUCGUCUCAUCUCGGAAGCUAAGCAGGGUCGGGCCUGGUUAGUACUUGGAUGGGAGGAUUAGGAGACUUUCUCU